UUAACUAUUAUAUAGUACUCAGACAUCACUAACAUUCAGAGUUUGGUCCUCUGGCAGGCACAUGCAGGCUGAGCCCACAGUGGGAGGCCACGGCCUGCCAAAGCAACAAGAGUAUAUAGACACGGAUGGGGUAUACCAUAAAGGUAUCCUUUUGUUUAAUGAUCCUUCCGCAGGUUCACCUACGGAAA
This 188-nucleotide unclassified non-coding RNA is filed under the name uncultured fungus. RNAcentral's name for it is "sequence contains ITS1". The record is from RNAcentral. Lineage: Eukaryota; Fungi.